Molecule: long non-coding RNA, 344 nt
Organism: Vidua chalybeata
Lineage: Eukaryota; Metazoa; Chordata; Aves; Passeriformes; Viduidae
Exons: 3
Source: RefSeq, a predicted model, not a curated record
GCAGGGUUAGAUGGGAUAUUGGGAAGGAAUUCUCCCCUGUGAUGGUGGGAAGGCCCUGGCACAGGGUGCCCAGAGCAGCUGGGGCUGCCCCUGGAUCCUGGAAUGUCCAAGGCCAGGGAUGGGUGCACUGCUAUGGAAAAAGCAGAACUGGCCAAACCAAACCUCAGCCCAAACACUGACAUCAACCCAAACAUUUUUGAAGGUCAGGGUGAGUUUGGAUAAGUAACCCAUGUACCCAGUGGAAGGAUUAAUUGCAUGGCGCGAUGCAGAAAAUACAGGGAGCAACACUGGAAUCGGAGCCGAGCUCGUAAUUUUAUUAAAGCAGAUCAGUUGUAGCAUCUUAA